This 626-nucleotide ribosomal RNA is filed under the name Streptomyces sp. ANA1909. RNAcentral's name for it is "bacterial SSU rRNA". It matches the Rfam family "Bacterial small subunit ribosomal RNA", at positions 56 to 699 of the family's 1533-position model. The record is from RNAcentral. Lineage: Bacteria; Bacillati; Actinomycetota; Actinomycetes; Kitasatosporales; Streptomycetaceae.
UGCAAGUCGAACGGUGAAGCCCUUCGGGGUGGAUCAGUGGCGAACGGGUGAGUAACACGUGGGCAAUCUGCCCUGCACUCUGGGACAAGCCCUGGAAACGGGGUCUAAUACCGGAUAUGACCUUCCUCCGCAUGGGGGUUGGUGGAAAGCUCCGGCGGUGCAGGAUGAGCCCGCGGCCUAUCAGCUUGUUGGUGGGGUAAUGGCCUACCAAGGCGACGACGGGUAGCCGGCCUGAGAGGGCGACCGGCCACACUGGGACUGAGACACGGCCCAGACUCCUACGGGAGGCAGCAGUGGGGAAUAUUGCACAAUGGGCGCAAGCCUGAUGCAGCGACGCCGCGUGAGGGAUGACGGCCUUCGGGUUGUAAACCUCUUUCAGCAGGGAAGAAGCGCAAGUGACGGUACCUGCAGAAGAAGCACCGGCUAACUACGUGCCAGCAGCCGCGGUAAUACGUAGGGUGCGAGCGUUGUCCGGAAUUAUUGGGCGUAAAGAGCUCGUAGGCGGCCUGUCGCGUCGGAUGUGAAAGCCCGGGGCUUAACCCCGGGUCUGCAUUCGAUACGGGCAGGCUAGAGUGUGGUAGGGGAGAUCGGAAUUCCUGGUGUAGCGGUGAAAUGCGCAGAUAUCA